GAUGAACGCUGGCGGCGUGCCUAAUACAUGCAAGUCGAGCGAACAGACGAGGAGCUUGCUCCUCUGACGUUAGCGGCGGACGGGUGAGUAACACGUGGAUAACCUACCUAUAAGUCUGGGAUAACUUCGGGAAACCGGAGCUAAUACCGGAUAAUAUAUUGAACCGCAUGGUUCAAUAGUGAAAGACGGUUUUGCUGUCACUUAUAGAUGGAUCCGCGCCGCAUUAGCUAGUUGGUAAGGUAACGGCUUACCAAGGCAACGAUGCGUAGCCGACCUGAGAGGGUGAUCGGCCACACUGGAACUGAGACACGGUCCAGACUCCUACGAGAGGCAGCAGUAGGGAAUCUUCCGCAAUGGGCGAAAGCCUGACGGAGCAACGCCGCGUGAGUGAUGAAGGUCUUCGGAUCGUAAAACUCUGUUAUUAGGGAAGAACAAAUGUGUAAGUAACUAUGCACGUCUUGACUGUACCUAAUCAGAAAGCCACGGCUAACUACGUG
RNAcentral lists this ribosomal RNA (497 nucleotides) under uncultured bacterium. RNAcentral describes it as "partial 16S ribosomal RNA". It matches the Rfam family "Bacterial small subunit ribosomal RNA", at positions 28 to 507 of the family's 1533-position model. The record is from RNAcentral.